RNAcentral lists this ribosomal RNA (514 nucleotides) under uncultured bacterium. RNAcentral's name for it is "partial 16S ribosomal RNA". It matches the Rfam family "Bacterial small subunit ribosomal RNA", at positions 27 to 507 of the family's 1533-position model. The record is from RNAcentral.
GGACGAACGCUGGCGGCGUGCUUAACCCAUGCAAGUCGAACGAGAGCGUAGAGAAAGCUUGCUUUUUCUACAAUCUAGUGGCAAACGGGUGAGUAACGCGUAAACAACCUGCCCUACGGAUGGGGACAACAGCUGGAAACGGCUGCUAAUACCGAAUACGUUCCGAAAGUCGCAUGACUAUCGGAAGAAAGGAUGGCCUCUAUUUAUAAGCUAUCGCCGGAGGAGGGGUUUGCGUCUGAUUAGCUAGUUGGAGGGGUAACGGCCCACCAAGGCGACGAUCAGUAGCCGGUCUGAGAGGAUGAACGGCCACAGUGGAACUGAGACACGGUCCAGACUCCUACGGGAGGCAGCAGUGGGGAAUCUUCCGCAAUGGGCGAAAGCCUGACGGAGCAACGCCGCGUGAGUGAAGACGGCCUUCGGGUUGUAAAGCUCUGUUAUACGGGACGAAUAAUCUUGUGGUUAAUACCCAUGAGAAGUGACGGUACCGUAAGAGAAAGCCACGGCUAACUACGUG